ACGCACGCUGGCGGCGUGCUUAACACAUGCAAGUCGAACGGAAAGGCCCUGCUUUUGUGGGGUGCUCGAGUGGCGAACGGGUGAGUAACACGUGAGUAACCUGCCCUUGACUUUGGGAUAACUUCAGGAAACUGGGGCUAAUACCGGAUAGGAGCUCCUGCUGCAUGGUGGGGGUUGGAAAGUUUCGGCGGUUGGGGAUGGACUCGCGGCUUAUCAGCUUGUUGGUGGGGUAGUGGCUUACCAAGGCUUUGACGGGUAGCCGGCCUGAGAGGGUGACCGGUCACAUUGGGACUGAGAUACGGCCCAGACUCCUACGGGAGGCAGCAGUGGGGAAUAUUGCACAAUGGGCGGAAGCCUGAUGCAGCAACGCCGCGUGCGGGAUGACGGCCUUCGGGUUGUAAACCGCUUUCGCCUGUGACGAAGCGUGAGUGACGGUAAUGGGUAAAGAAGCACCGGCUAACUACGUG
RNAcentral lists this ribosomal RNA (467 nucleotides) under uncultured bacterium. Its description in RNAcentral is "partial 16S ribosomal RNA". It matches the Rfam family "Bacterial small subunit ribosomal RNA", at positions 29 to 507 of the family's 1533-position model. The record is from RNAcentral.